GAUGAAGAACGUAGCGAAAUGCGAUACGUAAUGUGAAUUGCAGAAUUCAGUGAAUCAUCGAAUCUUUGAACGCACAUUGCGCCCGCCAGUAUUCUGGCGGGCAUGCCUGUUCGAGCGUCAUUUCAACCCUCAAGCUCAGCUUGGUGUUGGGACUCGCGGUAACCCGCGUUCCCCAAAUCGAUUGGCGGUCACGUCGAGCUUCCAUAGCGUAGUAAUCAUACACCUCGUUACUGGUAAUCGUCGCGGCCACGCCGUAAAACCCCAACUUCUGAAUGUUGACCUCGGAUCAGGUAGGAAUACCCGCUGAACUUAAGCAUAUCAAUAAGCGGAGGA
RNAcentral lists this unclassified non-coding RNA (333 nucleotides) under soil metagenome. RNAcentral's name for it is "partial contains 5.8S ribosomal RNA, internal transcribed spacer 2, and large subunit ribosomal RNA". The stretch from base 1 to 120 matches the Rfam family "5.8S ribosomal RNA", at positions 35 to 154 of the family's 154-position model. The record is from RNAcentral.